This 148-nucleotide signal recognition particle RNA is filed under the name Nomascus leucogenys (northern white-cheeked gibbon). Its description in RNAcentral is "Metazoan signal recognition particle RNA". It matches the Rfam family "Metazoan signal recognition particle RNA". Rfam says of the family: The signal recognition particle (SRP) is a universally conserved ribonucleoprotein. It is involved in the co-translational targeting of proteins to membranes. The eukaryotic SRP consists of a 300-nucleotide 7S RNA and six proteins: SRPs 72, 68, 54, 19, 14, and 9. The record is from Rfam by way of RNAcentral. Lineage: Eukaryota; Metazoa; Chordata; Mammalia; Primates; Hylobatidae.
GCUGGGCAUGGUGGCGGGUGCCUGUAAUCCCAGCUACUUGGGAGGCUGAGGCAGGAGAAUCACUUGAACCUGGGAGACGGAGGUUGCAGUGAGCCAAGAUCGUGCCACUGCACUCCAGCCUGGGUGACAGAGUGAGACCCUGUCUCAA